UCGCGCCUCAGGACGCCGGCCCGGAGAUCCCGCCCCCAGCCGCGGCCAGAUCUCCCCUACCCGGUCUCCGCGCGGCCCCCGCUGGCCCCAAGAAGGCCCAAGACAUAAGAUGCGCAACUGCCAGUUCUGUGUCACACAAGGUUUUACAACAACCAGGCAGCACAUGAAAGAGGAUUCACCAUCAAGCACUCUGGAGUUAUGAAAAUGGACCUGAAAUUUAUUUUCCCCUUU
This is a long non-coding RNA of Chinchilla lanigera (long-tailed chinchilla), 231 nucleotides long. RefSeq lists it as uncharacterized. The transcript has 3 exons. The record is from RefSeq and is a predicted model, not a curated record. Lineage: Eukaryota; Metazoa; Chordata; Mammalia; Rodentia; Chinchillidae.